Molecule: long non-coding RNA, 281 nt
Filed under: Sorghum bicolor (sorghum)
Lineage: Eukaryota; Viridiplantae; Streptophyta; Magnoliopsida; Poales; Poaceae
Description: long non-coding RNA (SBIC_LNC013523)
Source: RNAcentral
CUGUCCUGUACUACUCUCUUCUGUUUCCUCAUCGAUAAUGUGCGAAGUCAUCAAACAAUUCUAUGAGGCAAUGUAUUUAUUCAUUUAUUGUGUUAGUUAUUACUCCCACUAUAAGUCACACCUCUGUUACUCUCCAGGGGUGUUUUGACAACAUGUUACCCUCCUCCUUGAUUAAUGGUCACUUCUAAGCCUUGUGAGAUUUUAAAAAGAAAAUAAAAAAAGGAACUUCCCAACUUGCACCAUGAAUUCUGCUUGAAUUCAGAGUAAAGAUGGCAACGGGC